GACGGGGGAGGCAAUCGUUAUCCGGAAUCACUGGGCGUAAAGCGUCUGCAGGUGGUGAUGCAAGUCACUGGUGCAAAACUCUGGCUCAACCGGAGGAUAGCCAGUGAAACUGCAUGACUAGAGUGUGGGAGAGGUAGAAGGAAUUCCCUGAGUAGAGGUGAAAUGCGUAGAUACAGGGAAGAACACCGGAGGCGAAAGCGUUCUACUGGAACACAACUGACACUGAGAGACGAAAGCUUGGGGAGCGAAUAGG
This 253-nucleotide ribosomal RNA is filed under the name uncultured bacterium. Its description in RNAcentral is "partial 16S ribosomal RNA". It matches the Rfam family "Bacterial small subunit ribosomal RNA", at positions 524 to 776 of the family's 1533-position model. The record is from RNAcentral.